UACGUAGGGUGCGAGCGUUGUCCGGAAUUAUUGGGCGUAAAGAGCUCGUAGGCGGUCUGUCGCGUCGGUCGUGAAAACUUGGGGCUUAACCCUGAGCUUGCGGUCGAUACGGGCAUGACUGGAGUUCGGCAGGGGAGACUGGAAUUCCUGGUGUAGCGGUGAAAUGCGCAGAUAUCAGGAGGAACACCGGUGGCGAAGGCGGGUCUCUGGGCAGCAACUGACGCUGAGGAGCGAAAGCGUGGGGAGCGAACAGG
This 254-nucleotide ribosomal RNA is filed under the name uncultured bacterium. RNAcentral describes it as "partial 16S ribosomal RNA". It matches the Rfam family "Bacterial small subunit ribosomal RNA", at positions 524 to 776 of the family's 1533-position model. The record is from RNAcentral.